Molecule: ribosomal RNA, 253 nt
Filed under: uncultured bacterium
Lineage: Bacteria
Description: partial 16S ribosomal RNA
Rfam family: Bacterial small subunit ribosomal RNA
Source: RNAcentral
UACGUAGGGUGCAAGCGUUGUCCGGAAUUAUUGGGCGUAAAGAGCUCGUAGGCGGUUUGUUGCGUCGGCUGUGAAAACCUGAGGCUCAACCUCAGGCCUGCAGUCGAUACGAGCAGACUAGAGUGUUGCAGGGGAGACUGGAAUUCCUGGUGUAGCGGUGAAAUGCGCAGAUAUCAGGAGGAACACCGGUGGCGAAGGCGGGUCUCUGGGCAUUACCUGACGCUGAGGAGCGAAAGCGUGGGGAGCGAACAGG